UCACCAUGUCGCAGGACCGUGUCGC
This 25-nucleotide microRNA is filed under the name Pteropus alecto (black flying fox). RNAcentral describes it as "pal-miR-10005-5p". Lineage: Eukaryota; Metazoa; Chordata; Mammalia; Chiroptera; Pteropodidae. The record is from miRBase by way of RNAcentral.